RNAcentral lists this ribosomal RNA (497 nucleotides) under uncultured bacterium. Its description in RNAcentral is "partial 16S ribosomal RNA". It matches the Rfam family "Bacterial small subunit ribosomal RNA", at positions 28 to 507 of the family's 1533-position model. The record is from RNAcentral.
GAUGAACGCUGGCGGCGUGCCUAAUACAUGCAAGUCGAGCGAACGGACGAGAAGCUUGCUUCUCUGAUGUUAGCGGCGGACGGGUGAGUAACACGUGGAUAACCUACCUAUAAGACUGGGAUAACUUCGGGAAACCGGAGCUAAUACCGGAUAAUAUUUUGAACCGCAUGGUUCAAAAGUGAAAGACGGUCUUGCUGUCACUUAUAGAUGGAUCCGCGCUGCAUUAGCUAGUUGGUAAGGUAACGGCUUACCAAGGCAACGAUGCAUAGCCGACCUGAGAGGGUGAUCGGCCACACUGGAACUGAGACACGGUCCAGACUCCUACGGGAGGUAGCAGAAGGGAAUCUUCCGCAAUGGGCGAAAGCCUGACGGAGCAACGCCGCGUGAGUGAUGAAGGUCUUCGGAUCGUAAAACUCUGUUAUUAGGGAAGAACAUAUGUGUAAGUAACUGUGCACAUCUUGACGGUACCUAAUCAGAAAGCCACGGCUAACUACGUG